Molecule: long non-coding RNA, 2072 nt
Organism: Quercus robur (English oak)
Lineage: Eukaryota; Viridiplantae; Streptophyta; Magnoliopsida; Fagales; Fagaceae
Exons: 2
Source: RefSeq, a predicted model, not a curated record
CUCUCUUCUCACCAAAAAAUAAAAAAACAUAUCGCAAAAAGAAGCCUCUGCCGUUCCUUUCUCUUCUCUAUUUCUCUAUCGUCUCCUUCCCCAAAACCCAACACUGAAAAUCAAUCCUGCCAAGAAGUCAUCCCCACAUGGUUAGGUCUGAGAUAGAAAGAAGGCAUCACCAACCAUAUGGUUUGGUCCUUCGGAGAGUUUUUCCAGAAGCGAAGGUGACGAUGGGACCGCAACAGAGCUUGAAGAGAAAAUCAAAUCAGGCACCGCCACUGCUGGUGUUUGAUGAAAUUUCCUAUGAGUUCUAGAAGCCAUAAUACAUGGAGAGUUGUAAGGAGGAAGAUAGGUAAGAAAUGUGAUGCUCUAUUGUUGAUUUAAUCAAGGUAAGCUAUGUUUGAUUCUUAUGACUAUUUAUCAAUUAAAAAUGUAUUGUAUAUAAAUGUUUUUUUUUUCUUCUAAACUUUGUCUCAUUAUUUUUAUUUUCUUUUCUCUCCUGUUUUAUCCUAUACAAUUGUUCAACUCAGGAGCCCUCCACCAAAUUUUAGAUUCCUUUUCAAUUGAACUAGGAUAGGCUUAUAGAUAUACAUACUCCAACUUAUAGAUAGACUAUCCAUUUGGAUUAAAAAUUUGUUGUUUUUUACCUCCGGUAAUAUGCCAUUACAUCAUUUAUGAGAUUUGUGUUAUCAAGAUUUUGUAUAGCUCAAUUUGUUGUAUUGUUUAUAGUGAUGGAACUAUUGAGAGUGUAUUGUGGUUUCUUCAAUGAAAUUGGUAGGUUUAAGAAUAUUUGCAAAAUUGAGAAUAUUGUUUAAUGGUGGGAAACAUAAUUUUUUGUUGGCUAGAAGCAUAGGCAACCACAAAAUUGAGAAUAUUGUUUAAAGGGUGAUUAGAGAUGAUAACCCAAAAUAUGGUAGGUGGAUGGUAUGUUGAUACAAUAGUUUCAGAAUUAAUCCCUUUUAAAUUUGAUGGUUUUUCUACACAACGAUGAUGAACUAUUUAGUACAUUGAUACAAUUCUUUAUUAUGUUCAAAAUCCUAACUUUCUUGAUGUGUGGCUCUAUCAACCUUUCAUAUGAAAGCCAGGAAACUUUGAAAUUUUAAAUUAAUAAUAUAGAUCAUGUAGUCCAAACAAGAUGUUCAAAUUUAUGAUUUAUGUCUCUUCCCAUUCCUCUCACACUCAUUUUAGAUAAAAUUUUCUUGGGGAAUGAUCUUAAUCUGUAUAGCAGAUUGCUUGCAGCCUUGCAAUGUUGUUGACUACAAGUAUUCUCUACAUGGGCUGCCAGUGGAUUCUGAUGAGUACCUUCAGGUAUUAUAUGAGGUUUCUUUUAAACCUUCUCUCUUUUUGUGUCAUUGCAAUUUUUUUUAAUAAUGAUUUCUGUUUGGUUACUAAGAAAGUGUAGUAAUAGAAUACAUAUAGUUUUAGGUUUUUAUUUAGUUUGGUUGGGAUUUGGGCAUCUUCUUUAUAUAGCUGUUUGGGCUUUGUUUUUUUCUCCCCCCCCCCCCCAAAAAAAAAGAAGAAUUCUAUUUGGUUGCUGAAGGAAAUCAAGUUCAAAUUAGAAUCUCAAAUAAAUUACAUCGUCAGUGAAAGAAAGCAAAAAUAUUUAAAUUUUUACAACAUUAUUAGAUUGCAUGCAUGGGAUCUCUUAUGGUCAUUCUCUCAAAAUUUUACACUGAACUACUAACAUAUGUGGUGACUCUUGACAACAUCAUAUGCAUUGAGAAUUGACUUAAAAGGGUGUUGAUGAUUUUGCUUUAAAUUACUGGGACUAUUUUUCUAAUUGAAGGGGUUGUCGAUAUUUCCUAGAGGUAUGAAAGGUUUGAUUUAGCAUCAACAAAAAGUAGAUAACUCAAUUCAAUUAUGAUCCUGCUUUCAUGGAGGAAAUGAGGACAAGAAGACAAACAUCUCAUGAGUUUCACAUACACAGUUGCAGAACCAGUUCAUAAACCAUAGAAAUAUGGACUAUGUAAAUUGACAAAUGUCUAUGUACAAUGAUAGAUUUGCUUAUUCAACUUGUGGUGGUGUUCAUAAAGUAACAUUCAACUAGCAUUAAUAACACCUACUCUUCUAUGUUUAUGAAA